UAGGGAAUAUUGCACAAUGGGCGAAAGCCUGAUGCAGCAACGCCGCGUGUGCGAAGAAGGCCUUCGGGUCGUAAAGCACUUUUCUGAGAGAUGAGAAAGGACAGUAUCUCAGGAAUAAGUCUCGGCUAACUACGUGCCAGCAGCCGCGGUAAAACGUAGGAGGCAAGCGUUAUCCGGAUUCACUGGGCGUAAAGCGCGUGCAGGCGGUUCGGUAAAGUUGGGCGUGAAAUCUCCUGGCUUAACUGGGAGAGGUCGUCCAAUACUACCGGACUUGAGAGCGGUAGAGGAAGAUGGAAUUCCCGGUGUAGUGGUGAAAUGCGUAGAUAUCGGGAGGAACACCAGUGGCGAAAGCGAUCUUCUGGACCGUUCUGUACGCUCAGACGCGAAAGCUAGGGUAGUAAACGGGAUUAGAGACCCCGGUAAUCCUAGCCGUAAACGAUGCAAACUUGGCGUCGGUGGCUUAAAACUCCAAUCGGUGCCGCAGCCAACGCGAUAAGUUUGCCGUCC
This 507-nucleotide ribosomal RNA is filed under the name uncultured Chloroflexota bacterium. RNAcentral describes it as "bacterial SSU rRNA". It matches the Rfam family "Bacterial small subunit ribosomal RNA", at positions 355 to 873 of the family's 1533-position model. Lineage: Bacteria; Bacillati; Chloroflexota. The record is from RNAcentral.